RNAcentral lists this long non-coding RNA (1582 nucleotides) under Anas platyrhynchos platyrhynchos (common mallard). RNAcentral's name for it is "lncRNA (ENSAPLG00000020179.1)". The record is from RNAcentral. Lineage: Eukaryota; Metazoa; Chordata; Aves; Anseriformes; Anatidae.
CAGCUGCUAUUCUGCAGUAACAAUAUUGAGAGUGGGGAAUGUUUAGGAGAAGCAUAAAAAUGUCACUGCUCAAUUGUUUUAUAGAGCUCGCAUGCCUCAGCUUUGCCGCAUAGGAGCCCAGCUGAAUGUUUGCCACGAGCUUGGAAGCAGGUCUUUAGGCCAUGGGAUCUCCUAUCUUUAAAAGACCUUGGCACCAGUGGUAUUAAUGCAACCUCUGCUGGCUGUGGUUGCGUGGAGAUGAAGCCUGAAGUCCCUGCUGUUGCCCUACAACAUGAGUAUAAUUAAGGAUGCAGUGGAACGAAAGCAGCCGCACCAUCCGAGAGAGGUGUUUUCCUGCAACCAGUGGCAUCGAGUUCCCGCCUGGAGAACCCCAAGAUGGCAGCCGGUCUCUGGAUGCCUAUUUCUUCAAGGCAACUUGAUCCUAAGUUCUUGAUCCUACCAAUGGGACUGGCAGGAAUUGGUGUGGCCAACAGAGAUUAUCUUCCAAUUUCACUUCCAUUGACACUGAAAACUAAUUUUUCAGAUAUGUCUCCCUUGUAUGUCUCUACAAACAAAAGAAGAGAUGGUGACAGCUUGUUCUAGGGAGAAGAUUUCAAAUUGCUCAGCUACUUUCCUCUUUUUUUCACUUACCCAUACAUUUGUUACAGCAAAAUAUAACUGAACAUUCUAGUUUGAAAUACCCUGACAUGUUCAGUCACAGUUGUAUGCUGGCUGGGAAGAUCUACGUAUCCUAUGAUGUAAAGCUAUUUAUGACAAAGCAUAAGAUUGUGAGAUUUCCAUGACUCUAUUCAGCUAUCACAUGCUUACAUUUAUUCCCACAAAACCACUCACAUCCCACUCUGCAUUAGCAAAUGUUUAGACUUCAGCGAACACACCUCCAUUAGUGUUUCAGUUUGGAUAAGGCAGGCAGUUCUCAAAUUAAAGAGGCUUUAAUUUGGUGGGGCUUGUAUGAUACCUUAUUCUGGUUUGCAGAAGCAGGGUCAAACAAGUUCCCUUCAGAUGAGCUGGGAGUGCUGUCACAUGAAAUGCACACAGUGGGCUCAGUCUGCUUGCCAGGAUGGGAUACAGGCUUGCUGGGACCACACUGGUAUAGCAGGCUAAGGUGAAUAAUUUGGAUACAUUGGGGUAGGACAGCUUUAGAUCAUCACGCUAACUUUGGAAUAUUAGAUAAAAAUAUGAAAGACUUCAGAUAUUCUGACUACGAAAGACCUUCCUUUCAGGAAUCUUACAAUAUUCCUGCAGUUAUAAUUGUCUACAUUCUUUAUGCUUUUUGAAUGGAUAAUAAUAGUUUUGCAAGUAAAAUUGUAAAAUCUUGAGUUUAUGAACAAGACAACUUAAGUUUCCAAUUUUAACUUCUCUGGAUAGUUCCCAUGGUUUUAUGGAAAGAAAGAAGCAAGCUUCUACAAAAUACCUAGAGAUAUUUCACAGUGUUUCCUAUAGGUUUUGGGAAUCAAGUCUUUGUAGAUCUGUUCAAACAGAUCUAAAAUUAACAGUAUUCCUUUUUUUUUUUUUCUUAAUUCACUCAUUCCAUUAAUAUAACUUAGUGACUUGCAUCAGAAAACUGUUUCCUGUACAAAAUAAU